RNAcentral lists this ribosomal RNA (838 nucleotides) under uncultured bacterium. RNAcentral's name for it is "bacterial SSU rRNA". It matches the Rfam family "Bacterial small subunit ribosomal RNA", at positions 69 to 897 of the family's 1533-position model. The record is from RNAcentral.
GGAGGAAGCCUGCUUUCUCCUGCCGGCGACCGGCGCACGGGUGAGUAACACGUAUGCAACCUGGCCGUCACAGGUGGAUAACCGGAAGAAAUUCCGACUAAUACAGCAUAACACUCCUGAGGGACAUCCUUCGGGAGUCAAAGGAGGUAACUCCGGUGACGGAUGGGCAUGCGGCGCAUUAGGUAGUUGGUAGGGUAACGGCCUACCAAGCCGACGAUGCGUGGGGGUUCUGAGAGGAAGGUCCCCCACAUUGGAACUGAGACACGGUCCAAACUCCUACGGGAGGCAGCAGUGAGGAAUAUUGGUCAAUGGCCGGAAGGCUGUACCAGCCAAGUCGCGUGAGGGAAUAAGGCCCUAUGGGUCGUAAACCUCUUUUGUCAGGGAGCAAAGGCGUCCACGUGUGGACGAGAGGAGAGUACCUGAAGAGAAAGCAUCGGCUAACUCCGUGCCAGCAGCCGCGGUAAUACGGAGGAUGCGAGCGUUAUCCGGAUUUAUUGGGUUUAAAGGGUGCGUAGGCGGAGUGUCAAGUCAGCGGUAAAAUUUCGGGGCUCAACCCCGUCGUGCCGUUGAAACUGACGCCCUUGAGUGAGUGAGAAGUAAGCGGAAUGCGUGGUGUAGCGGUGAAAUGCAUAGAUAUCACGCAGAACGCCGAUUGCGAAGGCAGCUUACCGGCGCCCAACUGACGCUGAAGCACGAAAGCGUGGGUAUCGAACAGGAUUAGAUACCCUGGUAGUCCACGCAGUAAACGAUGAAUACUAGCUGUCCGGGGCGAAUGGGCCCUGGGUGGCACAGCGAAAGCGUUAAGUAUUCCACCUGGGGAGUACGCCGGCAACGGUGA